Molecule: non-coding RNA, 74 nt
Organism: Podarcis lilfordi (Lilford's wall lizard)
Lineage: Eukaryota; Metazoa; Chordata; Lepidosauria; Squamata; Lacertidae
Source: the annotation of a GenBank genome assembly
GGAGGAUUGUGACUUUGGGGUAGAGCACAUGCUGUGCAAGCAAACGGUCCCAGGUUCAAAUCCUGGCAUCUCCA